Molecule: ribosomal RNA, 497 nt
Filed under: uncultured bacterium
Lineage: Bacteria
Description: partial 16S ribosomal RNA
Rfam family: Bacterial small subunit ribosomal RNA
Source: RNAcentral
GAUGAACGCUGGCGGCGUGCCUAAUACAUGCAAGUCGAGCGAACAGACGAGGAGCUUGCUCCUCUGACGUUAGCGGCGGACGGGUGAGUAACACGUGGAUAACCUACCUAUAAGACUGGGAUAACUUCGGGAAACCGGAGCUAAUACCGGAUAAUAUAUUGAACCGCAUGGUUCAAUAGUGAAAGACGGUUUUGCUGUCACUUAUAGAUGGUUCCGCGCCGCAUUAGCUAGUUGGUAAGGUAACGGCUUACCAAGGCGACGAUGCGUAGCCGACCUGAGAGGGUGAUCGGCCACACUGGUACUGAGACACGGUCCAGACUCCUACGGGAGGCAGCAGUAGGGAAUCUUCCGCAAUGGGCGAAAGCCUGACGGAGCAACGCCGCGUGAGUGAUGAAGGUCUUCGGAUCGUAAAACUCUGUUAUUAGGGAAGAACAAAUGUGUAAGUAACUAUGCACGUCUUGACGGUACCUAAUCAGAAAGCCACGGCUAACUACGUG